UAGACCCGCUUUUGCGUUAGGGCUGUCCCUGUCCCCCCCCUCGCCACCUCCCGGCCGCGCCGUCAAAGCGGGCGGCAGGCACCUGGUGGGGCUGGAUAAGCCGUCAUGCGUGCGAAGAGGUGAAAGACAUGUAAAAUCAUAUUCCAGGAUCUCAGAAAUGUGCCAAAGUCUUCUAGCAAAAAAAUGAGGAAUUGCGUAUCUAAUAUUAGCAAGAGAGGACGAAGGACUCUGACAUUUCAGUACUGAAAACUUCUGCAGAUGUGCAAGUUGGAGGAAAAAUACUCAGUUACCUUAAAUACUGAGGUAGCAGAGCCCCUGCAGAACCA
This is a long non-coding RNA of Tyto alba (common barn owl), 326 nucleotides long. RefSeq lists it as uncharacterized. Lineage: Eukaryota; Metazoa; Chordata; Aves; Strigiformes; Tytonidae. The record is from RefSeq and is a predicted model, not a curated record. The transcript is spliced from 3 exons.